This 229-nucleotide ribosomal RNA is filed under the name uncultured bacterium. RNAcentral's name for it is "partial 16S ribosomal RNA". It matches the Rfam family "Bacterial small subunit ribosomal RNA", at positions 568 to 796 of the family's 1533-position model. The record is from RNAcentral.
UCCGUAGGCGGGCAAUUAAGUCAGAGGUGAAAUCCCACAGCUCAACUGUGGUACUGCCUUUGAUACUGGUUGUCUUGAGUUACAGUGAAGUAGAUAGAAUAUGUAGUGUAGCGGUGAAAUGCAUAGAUAUUACAUAGAAUACCGAUUGCGAAGGCAGUCUACUAACUGUAUACUGACGCUAAUGGACGAAAGCGUGGGGAGCGAACAGGAUUAGAUACCCUGGUAGUCC